Molecule: ribosomal RNA, 250 nt
Filed under: uncultured bacterium
Lineage: Bacteria
Description: partial 16S ribosomal RNA
Rfam family: Bacterial small subunit ribosomal RNA
Source: RNAcentral
GACGUAGGGAGCGAGCGUUGUCCGGAUUUACUGGGCGUAAAGCGCACGUAGGCGGUCUGUUAAGUGAGAAGUGAAAUCCCCAGCGCUCAACGCGGGAACUGCUUUUCAUACUGGCAGACUUGAGGGAUGUAGAGGUAAGUGGAAUUCCUGGUGUACCGGUGACAUGGGUUGAUAUCAGGAGGAACACCCGAGGCGAAGGCGGCUUACUGGACAUCUCCUGACGCUGAGGUGCGAAAGCGUGGGUAGCAAA